UCCCCUGUAGCUCAGUUGGUAGAGCAGCCGGCUGUUAACCGGCUUGUCGUAGGUUCGAGUCCUACCGGGGGAGC
This 74-nucleotide transfer RNA is filed under the name compost metagenome. Its description in RNAcentral is "tRNA-Asn". It matches the Rfam family "tRNA". Rfam says of the family: Transfer RNA (tRNA) molecules are approximately 80 nucleotides in length. Their secondary structure includes four short double-helical elements and three loops (D, anti-codon, and T loops). The record is from RNAcentral.